Molecule: long non-coding RNA, 743 nt
Organism: Bos taurus (domestic cattle)
Lineage: Eukaryota; Metazoa; Chordata; Mammalia; Artiodactyla; Bovidae
Source: Ensembl
CUAUAAGCUUGUCUUAACUGCUGAGGAGGACUGCAGCUUGGAGAGGUCCGAAUUCAUCCUGCAUGUGGACUCAGGCGGUCUGACACUCAAGUGCAAUGCUUUGAGUUCUAGAAAAGGAACAUGGCAUGGGGAAGGCCAGUUGUGCUCCGUUGAAAAGCAAAAGGAAACCUAGAGUGGUAUUCCAGCUUCUUGGGUUACUGCGGGCGUAUUAACGGGGAAAGUCAGUACAGGGUUCAGGCUCCAGAGUCAGAAAAGCCUUGAAAGGAGUUGGGAUGUAAAGGAUGGGCAAGGUUUAGGUAGGUGGAAAGGAAAACAGGAAGCGAGCAUCUGUGGCAUAGGGCUGGAAACUUUCAGACUGAGUGGGCCAACUGAGUUGGUGGUUAAGGGAAGAAAAGGUUGCAGAGAUCCAGGGAGAGAAUUCCCAACUCCCCUCUCCUGGAGGCGAAGUGUGAGAGAACCACUGCGGAAUCCUCCCCGGCUCCACCCUCCGCAGAGAAGGAGAAUGAUUUGUCUUUCAUUCAAAGACAAAAUGAAAGGUGGUGCCUCAGGCUGGCACUGUGCACUGCUGCGACCACUCCUGCCCGACCUGCCUCCCCAGUGAGCUGCCAUCUGCUGACUCCUUUUCUCCAGCACAAGGCCUCUCACCCUGCUCUGAGGGCUCUGGGACUUCGGUCCUUGAUGGUGGCAGAAAACAGAAACUUGCCUCCAGACCUGUUUGCCUCCGAACCAUGCAACAUGUGCCC